GUCCACGCCGUAAACGAUGUCUACUAGUUGUCGGGUCUCUUGCAGACUUGGUAACGAAGCUAACGCGAUAAGUAGACCGCCUGGGGAGUACGGCCGCAAGGUUAAAACUCAAAUGAAUUGACGGGGGCCCGCACAAGCGGUGGAGCAUGUGGUUUAAUUCGAAGCAACGCGAAGAACCUUACCCGGCCUUGACAUCCUGCGAACUUUCUAGAGAUAGAUUGGUGCCUUCGGGAGCGCAGUGACAGGUGCUGCAUGGCU
RNAcentral lists this ribosomal RNA (258 nucleotides) under uncultured bacterium. RNAcentral describes it as "partial 16S ribosomal RNA". It matches the Rfam family "Bacterial small subunit ribosomal RNA", at positions 793 to 1050 of the family's 1533-position model. The record is from RNAcentral.